RNAcentral lists this ribosomal RNA (555 nucleotides) under Vibrio tubiashii. RNAcentral's name for it is "bacterial SSU rRNA". It matches the Rfam family "Bacterial small subunit ribosomal RNA", at positions 240 to 787 of the family's 1533-position model. The record is from RNAcentral. Lineage: Bacteria; Pseudomonadati; Pseudomonadota; Gammaproteobacteria; Vibrionales; Vibrionaceae.
AUUAGCUAGUUGGUGAGGUAAAGGCUCACCAAGGCGACGAUCUCUAGCUGGUCUGAGAGGAUGAUCAGCCACACUGGAACUGAGACACGGUCCAGACUCCUACGGGAGGCAGCAGUGGGGAAUAUUGCACAAUGGGCGCAAGCCUGAUGCAGCCAUGCCGCGUGUGUGAAGAAGGCCUUCGGGUUGUAAAGCACUUUCAGCAGUGAGGAAGGUGGUUGUGUUAAUAGCGACAUCAUUUGACGUUAGCUGCAGAAGAAGCACCGGCUAACUCCGUGCCAGCAGCCGCGGUAAUACGGAGGGUGCGAGCGUUAAUCGGAAUUACUGGGCGUAAAGCGCAUGCAGGUGGUCUGUUAAGUCAGAUGUGAAAGCCCGGGGCUUAACCUCGGAGUUGCAUUUGAAACUGGCAGACUAGAGUACUGUAGAGGGGGGUAGAAUUUCAGGUGUAGCGGUGAAAUGCGUAGAGAUCUGAAGGAAUACCGGUGGCGAAGGCGGCCCCCUGGACAGAUACUGACACUCAGAUGCGAAAGCGUGGGGAGCAAACAGGAUUAGAUACCC